UACGUAGCAGCAAGCGUUGUUCGGAAUUACUGGGCGUAAAGAGUGUGUAGGCGGUGCUCUAAGUUUGGUGUGAAAUCUCCCGGCUCAACUGGGAGGGUGCGCCGAAAACUGGAAUGCUUGAACAUGGGAGAGGAAAGCGGAAUUCCUGGUGUAGCGGUGAAAUGCGUAGAUAUCAGGAGGAACACCUGCGGUGUAGACGGCUUUCUGGACCAUUGUUGACGCUGAGACACGAAAGCGUGGGUAGCAAACAGGAUUAGGAC
Molecule: ribosomal RNA, 260 nt
Filed under: uncultured bacterium
Lineage: Bacteria
Description: partial 16S ribosomal RNA
Rfam family: Bacterial small subunit ribosomal RNA
Source: RNAcentral